ACACAGGUCUCUGCUAAAGCGAAAGCUGAUGUAUAGGGGCUGACGCCUGCCCGGUGCUGGAAGGUUAAGGGGAACACUUAGCGUAAGCGAAGGUGUGAACUUAAGCCCCAGUAAACGGCGGCCGUAACUAUAACGGUCCUAAGGUAGCGAAAUUCCUUGUCGGGUAAGUUCCGACCCGCACGAAUGGCGUAAUGAUUUGGGCACUGUCUCAACAGCAAAUCCGGCGAAAUUGUAGUGCAAGUGAAGAUGCUUGCUACCCGCGAUUGGACGGAAAGACCCCGUAGAGCUUUACUGUAGCUUAGCAUUGAAUCUCGGUAUUGUCUGUACAGGAUAGGUGGGAGACUUGGAAGCUUGGGCGUCAGCCUGAGUGGAGUCAUCCUUGGGAUACCACCCUGACAGUACUGGGGUUCUAACCGGCGGCCAUGAAUCUGGUCACGGGACAUUGUUAGGUGGGCAGUUUGACUGGGGCGGUCGCCUCCUAAAAAGUAACGGAGGCGCCCAAAAGUUCCCUCAGCGCGGUCGGAAAUCGCGCGAAGAGUGCAAAGGCAGAAGGGAGCUUGACUGCGACACAUACAGGUGGAGCAGGGACGAAAGUCGGGCUUAGUGAUCCGGUGGUACCUCGUGGGAGGGCCAUCGCUCAACGGAUAAAAGCUACCUCGGGGAUAACAGGCUGAUCUCCCC
Molecule: ribosomal RNA, 681 nt
Filed under: Clostridium botulinum
Lineage: Bacteria; Bacillati; Bacillota; Clostridia; Eubacteriales; Clostridiaceae
Description: partial 23S ribosomal RNA
Rfam family: Bacterial large subunit ribosomal RNA
Source: RNAcentral